CACGUGCUUGGCUAUAGAAUUUUGUGCUAUCUCUACUGCUCUCUAGUGGCUGAAUUUUUUCUAAAUCAUUUUUUUUCUUGAAAAUUUUGAGUACCCAGACAGCAUUCAAGUCCCAUUUUCAUAAAAAUUUCUAAGUGCUAGUGAAAGUGUUUCACCACACGAUAUGAGACGAGAAUUUUUAACUGGAUUUUACGGAAGCGCUGGAGAAGCUUUAAUUACUUCAAAUAAAGCAGUAUUAUGGACCGAUGGAAGGUAUCACCUUCAAGCUGACCAACAACUCGACUGUAAUUGGAUUCUUAUGAAAUACGGCCAUAAGGGAUUAAAAUUUCUUUCCGUAAGUUCGGAAAAAGUUUCAUAUCAACUAUACUCGUUACAACACCCUCCAGUGUCCCGAAUUGCGAAUCAAUACCGAGUGUAAAAAGCAUCAGAAAGAAUAAUACUGACCAGAAUUGAGCACCGGG
Molecule: long non-coding RNA, 461 nt
Organism: Microplitis mediator
Lineage: Eukaryota; Metazoa; Arthropoda; Insecta; Hymenoptera; Braconidae
Exons: 3
Source: RefSeq, a predicted model, not a curated record